RNAcentral lists this unclassified non-coding RNA (315 nucleotides) under plant metagenome. Its description in RNAcentral is "partial contains 5.8S ribosomal RNA, internal transcribed spacer 2, and large subunit ribosomal RNA". The stretch from base 1 to 105 matches the Rfam family "5.8S ribosomal RNA", at positions 50 to 154 of the family's 154-position model. The record is from RNAcentral.
AAAAUGCGAUAAGUAAUGUGAAUUGCAGAAUUCAGUGAAUCAUCGAAUCUUUGAACGCACAUUGCGCCCGCCAGUAUUCUGGCGGGCAUGCCUGUUCGAGCGUCAUUUCAACCCUCAAGCCCCCGGGUUUGGUGUUGGGGAUCCGGCUGCGGUUCUACCGCGUCCCGGCCCCGAAAUCUAGUGGCGGUCUCGCUGCAGCCUCCAUUGCGUAGUAGCUAACACCUCGCAACUGGAACGCGGCGCGGCCAAGCCGUUAAACCCCCAACUUCUGAAUGUUGACCUCGGAUCAGGUAGGAAUACCCGCUGAACUUAAGC